CCUACGGGAGGCAGCAGAAGGGAAUAUUGCUCAAUGGGGGAAACCCUGAAGCAGCAACGCCGCGUGGAGGAUGAAGGUUUUCGGAUUGUAAACUCCUUUUGUUAGAGAAGAUAAUGACGGUAUCUAACGAAUAAGCACCGGCUAACUCCGUGCCAGCAGCCGCGGUAAUACGGAGGGUGCAAGCGUUACUCGGAAUCACUGGGCGUAAAGAGCGCGGAGGCGGGAUAGCAAGUCAGAUGUGAAAUCCUAUGGCUUAACCAUAGAACUGCAUUUGAAACUGUUAUUCUAGAGUAUGGGAGAGGUAGGUGGAAUUCUUGGUGUAGGGGUAAAAUCCGUAGAGAUCAAGAGGAAUACUCAUUGCGAAGGCGACCUACUAGAACAUAACUGACGCUGAUGCGCGAAAGCGUGGGGAGCAAACAGGAUUAGAUACCCCUGUAGUC
This 440-nucleotide ribosomal RNA is filed under the name uncultured bacterium. RNAcentral describes it as "partial 16S ribosomal RNA". It matches the Rfam family "Bacterial small subunit ribosomal RNA", at positions 338 to 795 of the family's 1533-position model. The record is from RNAcentral.